Molecule: ribosomal RNA, 331 nt
Filed under: uncultured bacterium
Lineage: Bacteria
Description: bacterial SSU rRNA
Rfam family: Bacterial small subunit ribosomal RNA
Source: RNAcentral
AGAGUUCGAUCAUGGCUCAGGACGAACGCUGGCGGCGCGCCUAACACAUGCAAGUCGAACGAGAGAUGAGGAGCUUGCUCUUCAAAUCGAGUGGCGAACGGGUGAGUAACGCGUGAGGAACCUGCCUCAAAGAGGGGGACAACAGUUGGAAACGACUGCUAAUACCGCAUAAGCCCACGGCUCGGCAUCGAGCAGAGGGAAAAGGAGUGAUCCGCUUUGAGAUGGCCUCGCGUCCGAUUAGCUAGUUGGUGAGGUAACGGCCCACCAAGGCGACGAUCGGUAGCCGGACUGAGAGGUUGAACGGCCACAUUGGGACUGAGACACGGCCCAG